This 3921-nucleotide long non-coding RNA is filed under the name Lactuca sativa (garden lettuce). Its description in RNAcentral is "long non-coding RNA (LSAT_LNC006012)". The record is from RNAcentral. Lineage: Eukaryota; Viridiplantae; Streptophyta; Magnoliopsida; Asterales; Asteraceae.
AAAGCCUCUAGUAGGCCAAAAAUCAAAAAAUUACAAAGAAUAUGCAUUGAUUGAUUUUUUUAACCCGUUAAUCCAAGAGAACAUCUUUUCCGAUUUCUAUAAACAAUCCAAUUAAACGAGUAAUCUCUAAUAAAAUAAAAAAUCAUCAUUUUUUAUAGUUCUUUCCACCGAACACCACAUCAUGAUGAAAGCAACAAAGCACCCACCAUGUAGUAGAAUCUGCUAUCACCAAGAUCAUCAUUUUUUUUCCUGUAUAAUGCUGAUGCAUCCAUCAAAGCUAUGAGAUCUAAAAUUCACCCUUGAAUUUUAAUAGAAACAUCAACCAAUCUUACAAAUUUCAUGUUCUAGCCGUCACUUCACAUUUUAAGAAAAGACGAUUCAAGUCUUUGGUAUCCUUCGAAUAAAUCAGACACAACACUACUGAAUUCACAUCAAUACCUUUAUGAUGACAGUCUUAUCUGCGUUGAAGCCUAUCAAGCAAAAGAUGCCAAAAAGAGUAUAUUAUAAUUUCUAAGCAUAAAAGGAUUCCAUCUAGUAUUAGGCUAUUAGCCGAACUAGGGAUGAGCAUCGGAACUGGCCCGGGAACCGAACUUGAUAGAAAAUAGAAACCGAACCGGACCGCCGGUUCUACCGGUUCUUGUCAGGUCUUCAACGUUGGAACCGGUCCUCGAGAAAUAGCAACGUAUUUUGAGAAAUAUUUUGGUUACGAUUUCGGUUUUUGCCAGUUCUUGCCAGAUCUAUAAAAAAAAACAAAGAAAAUACAAUCAAACUUUCACGUAUGUUGUUGGAAAAAAAAUAUUUGGUAUGCUAUAUUCCAAGAGAUGUAACUCCUUUAGUUUUUAACAAAAUUAAGAGUUUUUAUAGUGUAAAAUUAAUUACAAAACCUAAAUAACAUGUAGGAAAAAAAAUCAGGUCAAUACAACUUAAAAUGAGUGAGAUAUGCACAUUUUAACAAAAAAAGUCAGAUUACGUUUAAGUGCUGAAACAGGAAAAAAGUCUGAUUUGAUAUGCUUCCUUGCGGCUCUUGUAACUCAUUCAAUUUUUAACCAAAUCAAGAGUUUUUAUAGUCUAAAAUUAGCUACAAAACCCAAACAACAUGUAGGAAAAAGAAUCAAAUCAAUACAACUUAAAAUGGGCGAGAUAUGCACAUUUUAACAAAAAAGUCGGAUUACAUUUUAGUGCUGAAAAAAAAAAAAAAAAAGUCUGAUUUGAUACGCUACCUUACGGGGCUUGUAACUCAUUCAGUUUGUAAUCGAAUAAAGCGUUUUUAUAGUCUAAAAUUAUCUACAAAAACUAAAUAACAUUAGAAAAAGAAUCAUCUCAAUCCAAGUUCAAAUGAAUGAGAUAUGAACAUUUUAAGAAAAAGUCAGAUUACAUUUUAGUGCUGAAGAAAAAAAAAUCUGAUUUCCUAUGCUUCCUUACAGGGCUUGUAACUCAUUCAAUUUUUAACCAAAUCAAGAGUUUUUAUAGUCUAAAAUUAUCUACAAAACCUAAAUAAAAUGAAGGAAAAAUAAUAAUAUCAAUGUCACUUCAAAUUCGUGAGAUAUAAACAUUUAAAAAAAAGUUAGAUUGCGAUUUAUUACUCAAACAGAAAAAAAAGCCGGUCCGGUUCGGUUCCUGGUUUUGGGCCGGGUCCAAUGACCGGUUCCUACCGGUUCUCGGUUCCAAAAAUCCAUAAGAAUAUCGUCCUGGUCCCAGCCCGAUCGGUUCUAUCCGGUUUCGGUCGGUUCCCCAAUCCAAAUGCUCUUCCCUAAGCCGAACCACCAUCUGCUAAUAAGAAAUCAUCAACCCAUUUAUGAACCGUUACCUUGAACCUGAUUUCUCAAAACCAAAAUUGACUAUUUACGAACCGUAUUUACCGAGAUCAAUUUCUUAUGGCGAUGGCUAGGUUGGAUGUUGCGAAGUUUAAAAGGUAUGUGGAGAGAGCAAGAAUGGAUGAUGAGAGGAAGAAGCUAUUGGCGGGCUUUCAUGAUAUAAGCUCAAGUCAAGCUCUGACUAGAAAAAAGAUUCAACAGCUUUAAAGUCUCAAAAGUAGUAUUAAUUGUAAACAAUGAUAAGUAAAGAAAAAAUUUAUAAAACUUGACUAGAACACAUUCUAGUCAUGUUUAAGUUUGAAUAACAAAAUGAAAAACCACUUCAAUUACAUCAGAUGAAAAUUCAAAUCGACGUUUUUUAGGCUUAAAGUUUCUUUUUAAUAUUAGAACUUGAUAAAAUUUGAAACAAAAGAACGAAUAACUGGACUUAAAUACGUAUUAUAUAUACAAUUAAAUCACAUAACCCUAAAUAGUAUAGUUUCUAUUCUUCAAAGUUUUGUAUAGAAUUAACACUUUGUCAUUUUUGGUCAUUUCCCAAAAUUUUCAAAGUUUUGCCACAAAAGCUUAGGGUGCGUUUGGUUGUGAAAAACUGUUUUCAUUUUCUAAGAAAAUGUUUUUAGAAAAUAGAGUUGAGUUUUCGUUUUCAAAUUUCAAUGAAAAUUUUAGAAAACGCGUUUGGUUGAAACCGGGGGAGUUUUCAUUUUCCAUCUUAAAAAUUUGGAAAACUUUGGAAAACUGUAAAAAUCACUUUUCUAAUUUACAUACAAUUUGGAAAACUGAAAAUUUUCAUUUUUUUGGAAAAUUUUGGAAAAAUGAAUGAACCAAACACGUUUUCAAAAUUUCCGUUUUUCUUGAAAAAUUUUCCUAGAAAACUGGAAAAUUUUCCACAACCAAACGCACCUUUAGGGUGCUUGUAGAAUUUCUUUUAGUUUUCUAGGAAAAUUUUCCAAGAAAAACGGAAAUUUUGAAAACGCGUUUGGUUCGUUCAGUUUUCCAAAAUUUUCCAAGAAAAUGAAAAUUUCCAGUUUUCUAAGUUUUAUGUAAAUUGGAAAAAUGAUUUUUACAGUUUUCCAAAAUUCUAAAAUGAAAAAUAAAAACUCUCCCGGUUUCAACCAAACGCGUUUUCUAAAAUUUUCACUGAAAAUUGAAAAUGAAAACUCAACUCUAUUUUCUGAAAACAUUUUCUUAGAAAAUGAAGUGCAUUUUGUUGUGGAAAAUUUUCCAGUUUUCUAGGAAAAAUUUCCAAGAAAAACGAAAAUUUUGAAAAAACGUUUGGUUUGUUCAGUAUUCCAAAGUUUUCUAAGAAAAUGAAAAUUUUCAGUUUUCCAAAUUGUAUGUAAAUUAGAAAAGUGAUUUUUACAGUUUUUCAAAUUUCUAAGAUGGAAAAUGAAAACUCUACCCAUUCCAACCAAACGUUUUUUCAUUGAAAAUUGAAAAUGAAAACUCAACUCUAUUUUCUGAAAAUAUUUUCAUAGAAAAUAAAAACAGUUUUCCAUAACCAAACGAAGCUUAACACUUUAUCAUUUUUGAUUCAUCCUUAAUUUUUUUACCACAUUAGUUCGUGGAGUUCACACUUUUAGUCCCCUAGCUUCGAUAUUCUUUAUUGCUAUCUACAAAAGUUUCAAGAGUCUACUACUUUUCGUCCCUAAGAUUUACUAAAUGUAACACCUUAAGUUUUGCCACUAGCUUCGAUAUUCUCUAUUGCUAGCUACAAAUGUUUCAAGAGUUUGCCACUUUUCGUUCCUAAGAUUUACUAAGACUGAAAGGAGUGGGAGUCGUUACCCCACUCGCUAAGCACGCUAGGAAGACUUGAGCACCGCCCCCUAGCGCUCGCUAGGGGGUCGCUAACAUUCGCUCGCUGCAUCUUUGACGAGAAGAGAGAGAAUUGGACGCACGAAUCUGAUUGGUUGAAGGGGUUGGACCAGAUUGCUUAAAGCCUUUACCAAAUUCAAUUUAACUCAUAAAUUUAAGGCUAUAAAAAUCAGAAGGAAAACUUACAGCCGAGCUUCUGUGAGGCAUGGUGAGAAUUCUAGAGAGAGAGAGAGGGGGGGAGAGGCGGUGGGAGGUAGAGAGAAAAUAUAUAGAUGAAAAUGCUAUUACGUCAAAA